This 773-nucleotide ribosomal RNA is filed under the name Paenibacillus zanthoxyli. RNAcentral describes it as "bacterial SSU rRNA". It matches the Rfam family "Bacterial small subunit ribosomal RNA", at positions 94 to 862 of the family's 1533-position model. The record is from RNAcentral. Lineage: Bacteria; Bacillati; Bacillota; Bacilli; Caryophanales; Paenibacillaceae.
AGCGGCGGACGGGUGAGUAACACGUAGGCAACCUGCCCCUUGGACUGGGAUAACUACCGGAAACGGUAGCUAAUACCGGAUAAUUCCUCUUAGCUCCUGCUAAGAGGCUGAAAGGCGGAGCAAUCUGUCACCAAGGGAUGGGCCUGCGGCGCAUUAGCUAGUUGGUGGGGUAACGGCUCACCAAGGCGACGAUGCGUAGCCGACCUGAGAGGGUGAACGGCCACACUGGGACUGAGACACGGCCCAGACUCCUACGGGAGGCAGCAGUAGGGAAUCUUCCGCAAUGGGCGAAAGCCUGACGGAGCAACGCCGCGUGAGUGAUGAAGGUUUUCGGAUCGUAAAGCUCUGUUGCCAGGGAAGAACGUCUUUAAGAGUAACUGCUUAAGAAGUGACGGUACCUGAGAAGAAAGCCCCGGCUAACUACGUGCCAGCAGCCGCGGUAAUACGUAGGGGGCAAGCGUUGUCCGGAAUUAUUGGGCGUAAAGCGCGCGCAGGCGGCUGUUUAAGUCUGGUGUUUAAACCAUGGGCUCAACCUGUGGUCGCACUGGAAACUGGGCAGCUUGAGUGCAGAAGAGGAAAGUGGAAUUCCACGUGUAGCGGUGAAAUGCGUAGAGAUGUGGAGGAACACCAGUGGCGAAGCGACUUUCUGGGCUGUACUGACGCUGAGCGCGAAAGCGUGGGGGAGCAAACAGAUUAGAUACCCUGGUAGUCCACGCCGUAAACGAUGAGUGCUAGUGUAGGUUUCGAUACCUUGGGUGGCGAGUAACACAGUA